RNAcentral lists this ribosomal RNA (548 nucleotides) under uncultured Glomeromycotina. RNAcentral describes it as "SSU rRNA". It matches the Rfam family "Eukaryotic small subunit ribosomal RNA", at positions 548 to 1098 of the family's 1831-position model. The record is from RNAcentral. Lineage: Eukaryota; Fungi; Glomeromycota.
UUGGAGGGCAAGUCUGGUGCCAGCAGCCGCGGUAAUUCCAGCUCCAAUAGCGUAUAUUAAAGUUGCUGCAGUUGAAAAGCUCGUAGUUGAAUUUCGGGACCAUCAUGUCGGUCGUGCCUCGGUACGUACUGGCAUUGUUGGUUUCUCCCUUCUGACGAACCAUGAUGUCAUUUAUUUGGUGUUGUGGGGAAUCAGGACUGUUACUUUGAAAAAAUUAGAGUGUUUAAAGCAGGCUCACGCUUGAAUACAUUAGCAUGGAAUAAUGAAAUAGGACGUUUGAUUCUAUUUUGUUGGUUUCUAGGAUCGACGUAAUGAUUAAUAGGGAUAGUUGGGGGCAUUAGUAUUUAAUUGUCAGAGGUGAAAUUCUUGGAUUUAUUGAAGACUAACUACUGCGAAAGCAUUUGCCAAGGAUGUUUUCAUUAAUCAAGAACGAAAGUUAGGGGAUCGAAGACGAUCAGAUACCGUCGUAGUCUUAACCAUAAACUAUGCCGACUAGGGAUCGGAUGAUGUUAAUUUUUUAAUGGCUCAUUCGGCGCCUUACGGGAAAC